This 1002-nucleotide long non-coding RNA is filed under the name Amazona collaria (yellow-billed parrot). RNAcentral describes it as "lncRNA (ENSACOG00000010665.1)". Lineage: Eukaryota; Metazoa; Chordata; Aves; Psittaciformes; Psittacidae. The record is from RNAcentral.
AUGGCCAGCAGCCGGGUCACCUCCUCGCCGCGGUCCUCAGGUGCCGCAACCCCCGUUCCAUCCGCGGCCCCUGCCCAGGGGAGACCCUGGCACCGCCUCAACCAGACCCAGAGCAGCCCCCACGUCCUGCGGAGCGCGGCCACGUCCAGGAGCCGGCUCCCAGCUGCGCCCUGGAGCGCAGCAGCGCCGGCGCGGCCGCAGAGCCGCAGGCAUCCCAGCAGCAGCAUGAGGAGCAGCAGCAGGAGCGCCAGGAGCAUCCAGAGCAGGCGGAGGCCGAGCCGUGCCGCGGCGCGCAGGCACCGCGCUGCCCUCAACGACCCUCUCCGGGCGCGCUGCCCUACGGCGCGGCCCCAGCCACGCACUGAGCCCGGCUCCGCGGCUCCGAGGCGGCAGCAGGAGCAGAGCAGCCGUCCCCCGGCCUCUGCCGCCAGCCUGCGGGCCUGGAGCAGCGGCUCCCGCCAUCCAGCCGCGGCCUCGGUCCCGGCCCCGCGGCUCCUCCUCCGCGGCGGCUGCGGCCGCUUCCCCUCCCGCCUGCUGCCCUCCUCCUUCUCCUUGAGCGCCGAGCGCUGCCGCCGCCCGGGCCGCCGGAGCCCGUCCUCCUCCUCCUCCUCCUCCUCCUCGUCGGGCUCCUCCUCGGCCGCGGCACUCGGGGUAGCGACCGGUUCCCCCCGGCAGUGGCAGCAGCGCUCGGGGCCUGGGUCGUGCUCGCAGUCCCCGUCCUCGUCCUCCUCCUCCUCCCGGCCGGCAGCCGCUGCCUGCCCGCAGCUCCCGUUCCAGCCCGCGCUAUCCCAGCCGCGGCGGCCGCCGGUGACCCCGGGCUCCUCCAGGCUCCCACUGGAGCCGUCGCCUCCUUCAGCCGCCACCGCCGCUCCCCGGUGCCGCGGCUGCUCCAUCCCGGCGGCCCCACUGGCCCCGGACGGGCUUAAGUCACGGCCAUGUCCUGAAGGGCCAGAGCGGGUCAGGGCCGACGGUGCGGUCCCGGGAUGCCCCGACAGGCCCUGA